UCGAGAAAAGGGGUUCUAUCCAAAGCUGGACACACACAAAAGGAGAGGGGGAGAGAGAGAGAGAGACUGAAACAGAAACAAACCCAAAUCCAGGCCCAACAGCUGAAGCGGACACGCCCUUGUGCCCCGUCUUCCUCCUUGGGGGUCUCUUCCACGGGCAAAGCCCGCCUGAUGAAGAGCAAAUCCGCCAAGAAGGCCGCCGACGAGGAUGAGGCCAAGUCCAAGAAGAUCCGAUCCUCGCGCGGCAAGCGUCGGAGUGUCCGCCACAGCCGCAGCCGCUCCCCUUCCCCCGACGGCUCCAGCUCCAGUUCCCCACCCCGCAAGCGCUCCAAGAAGCCCACCAAGAAGAUUGUUGACAAGAGGAGCAAAAAGAGCAAGGGCAGUGGCAGCCGCCGCGGACGCCGCCGCAGCCUGAGUCCAAGCCGUAGCCCCAGCGGUAGCCCUUCCUCGGUGUCCAGGAGUCACCCCCGCCGCAGCCACCAUAGCAUUAGCAGCAGCAGUGCCUCAGACUCUGAGAGGUCAGUGAGCCCACUGCCCAAGAGCCACUCCAAAGAUCCUAGGAAGAAGAAAGGAAGGGGGAGGGACAAGGAUCGAAAGAGGAGGCGUGUACGGAGAUCAAGGAGCUACUCGAGCAGUCCAGCCAGGAGUGGCAGUAGCCGGAGCAGGAGCAGGAGCAGGAGCAAGAGCAAAAGUAGGAAGCGGAGGGCGGACGGCACGAGACAUGAUGCAAGUAGGGACAGGGUUGUACAGGACUAUGACAACUGCCAGGAUCCGCAGAAUGAGAAGAGAUCUGUUGAGGAUGUUUAUAGCGAUGAGGACGCGGUUGCUGACGAUUAUGAGAAGAAUGUGGAGCUGAAGGAGAUGGAAAGCCCACCUUCCAAGGAUGCUCAUGAACCGGGUGAGAUCUUACCUGUUAAUUGUGAAAGCCCAGAGGUUGAGGAGGAUUUGGAGCUCAUUCUCAGGCAGAAAGCUCUUGAGAACUUCAGGAAGUUUAAGGGAGCCAUGGCCAUGGUAGGCAAGACAGAAAACAAUGGUACAGGGAAGGAAGUACUAACAGAUAGCCCCCAGAAUACUGUCACAAAAUUUCCUGAAGCAAGGUCUGCUGUUGCCCCUUUUCAGAGGCAGGGAAGCAAUCUUGGAGUUGGCCACUCUACUCGAUCACCUGAAUUUGAAGAUUUUGAGAACGGUAGAAGUCCUUGGAAGCAGGAAACGACUCACAGGGAUAGAUCACCUGGAAUACUCGAGGCUGGUGAUACUUGUGGUCCUACUCAACAGCUGGGAAGCGGACUAGAAGAGAUACGUUCAACUUCUCAUAUCACUUCACAUGAUGGUAGGAAUGGUGGUAGUGUAAUGCAAAGGUUGGGAAGCACCCCGGCGAGUUCUGGUAUUAUAAAGCAAAGGUUAGGCAUCAGCUCAGUGGUGAGUCCUGUGCAAGCAAGACCCAGAGUUAGAUCAGUUGUGAGUAUACCCUCCAGGGAAGGGCUUGAUGACAGUACAUUUACAACAAUCCCUACAGCUUGUGAGAAUCCUGCCUCUGUCGAAAGCAGUAGUGAAAGCCAGGCAGCAGGGACCGAGGACAAAGAUGCGUCUCAGUUUGAGAAGAGGACUUUCUCUAGGAUGCAUGAUGGAGAGACAGUGCAGUGUACUGGUCUGCUACAUGCUGUGUUUUGUGGUUUAAACUUUGCAACGAUGGCAUGCCUCGGAAUAAUCCGCGGUUUGGAGAUUUAUGUGCAGUUGCGGUUCGGUUCGAAAUGAUGAAGAUCAUUGUUUAUUUGGCGUUGAUCACCGAAGGUAGCGGUAGUAACAGAUUAGGCAAGGCGCUCUUAGUGUCGUCCUGGGUUUCAUGGCACAGAAAGAUUUCCGAAUUCGGACCUGGACAGAUUUCGCCGUCAGUUCCGAGAUCGAGGAGGGGAGGAGGGCCAGAUCAUGCAGGGAGUCUGGCUGUCCGUCGCUACAAGAGCAGCCCGUUCCGGCCUCCACCAAACCAACCAAGCAAUCGAGCCAAACAAGCUCACCUUCCAACUGUAUAGCUGCACGAGGGAUCUCGGCGUGGCGCUUGCCGUCCUGCCCCUGCUGUUCAUGCCCGGGGCGUCCGCGGUCGUCCCCAGCAUCGACGCCACGCGGACCCGCCACCUGCCGCUGCCACCUGGACUGCUGCGCGGCCCGGAGAGCGUCGCCUUUGACGCCAAAGGCAACGGCCCAUACAGCGGCAUCUCCGACGGCCGCGUCCUCAAGUGGAACGGCGACAGGCUCGGCUGGACGACGUACACUUACAGCCCUGGAUAGUGGAUACAGCAGCGAGGCGUGCACGGCGUCCGUCCGUCCGCUGGGCCUACGGUUUCACCUCAAGUCUGGCUACUUGUACAUAGCCGACGCCUACAAGGGGCUCAGGAGGGUCGCGCCAGGAGGCGGGGAGGCGACGGUGCUUGUCACGGAGGCCGACGGCGCUCCUCUCCGCUUCACCAAUGGCGUGGACGUUGACCAGGUGACCGGUGAAGUCUACUUCACCGACAGCUCUAUGAAAUAUCAAAGGUCACAGCACGAGAUGGUAACAAGAACCGGUGACUCGACAGGCCGCCUAAUGAGAUAUGAUCCACGCACAGGAAAAGUGAUUGUGCUAAAGGCCGGCAUCACUUACCCCAAUGGUCUCGCCAUCAGCGCUGAUCGGACACACCUCGUCAUCUCAUCGACCGGGCCGUGCAAGUUGUUGAGGUACUGGACCAAAGGAGGUCCCAAGACAGGCACGAUGGAACUGUUAACUGAUCUACCGGGCUAUCCUGAUAAUUUGAGGCCGGACAAGAAAGGAGGAUACUGGGUGGCAUUACAUCGUGAGAAGAUAGAACUCCAUUUUAGUGUCAGAUAGAUAUCUACUUGCCUUGAGGAUCGGCGCCGAUGGAAAAAUAAUCGAGGAAAUGAGGGGACCCAAGGCCAAGGGCAUGAGGCCAGCAGAGGUGGUGGAAUGGACACGCGGCAGACUAUUUGUGGGAUCCGUCGAGCUUUCUUAUGUUGCCAUGGCCACACGCAAAUAGAGAUUAAUUUAAGUU
This is an RNA transcript of Triticum aestivum (bread wheat), 3044 nucleotides long. RefSeq lists it as uncharacterized. The transcript is spliced from 6 exons. The record is from RefSeq and is a predicted model, not a curated record. Lineage: Eukaryota; Viridiplantae; Streptophyta; Magnoliopsida; Poales; Poaceae.